GAGUUUGAUCCUGGCUCAGGAUGAACGCUGGCGGCGUGCCUAACACAUGCAAGUCGAGCGUGAAGGUUAUGACAGAUUCUUCGGAUGAUGGAUUGACUGGAAAGCGGCGGACGGGUGAGUAACGCGUGGGUAACCUGCCCUACACACAGGGAUAGCCAUUGGAAACGAUGAUUAAUACCUGAUAACACAAAGACAACGCAUGUUGUUUUUGUCAAAGAUUUAUCGGUGUAGGAUGGACCCGCGUCUGAUUAGCUAGUUGGUAAGGUAACGGCUUACCAAGGCGACGAUCAGUAGCCGACCUGAGAGGGUGAUCGGCCACACUGGAACUGAGACACGGUCCAGACUCCUACGGGAGGCAGCAGUGGGGAAUAUUGCACAAUGGGCGCAAGCCUGAUGCAGCAACGCCGCGUGAACGAAGAAGGUCUUCGGAUCGUAAAGUUCUUUUCUUAGGGAAGGAAAAUGACGGUACCUAAGGAAUAAGCACCGGCUAAAUACGUGCCAGCAGCCGCGGUAAUACGUAUGGUGCAAGCGUUAUCCGGAAUCACUGGGCGUAAAGGGUACGUAGGCGGUUUUGCAAGUCAGAAGUGAAAGGCUACAGCUCAACUGUAGUAAGCUUUUUGAAACUGCAGACUA
This 633-nucleotide ribosomal RNA is filed under the name uncultured bacterium. Its description in RNAcentral is "bacterial SSU rRNA". It matches the Rfam family "Bacterial small subunit ribosomal RNA", at positions 9 to 643 of the family's 1533-position model. The record is from RNAcentral.